RNAcentral lists this transfer RNA (73 nucleotides) under gamma proteobacterium HTCC5015. It matches the Rfam family "tRNA". Rfam says of the family: Transfer RNA (tRNA) molecules are approximately 80 nucleotides in length. Their secondary structure includes four short double-helical elements and three loops (D, anti-codon, and T loops). Lineage: Bacteria; Pseudomonadati; Pseudomonadota; Gammaproteobacteria. The record is from Rfam by way of RNAcentral.
GUGGGCGUAGCUCAGUUGGUAGAGCACAAGAUUGUGACUCUUGUGGUCGUGGGUUCGAUCCCCAUCGUCCACC